AAUCCGACGACAAAAAUCUUCCAUUAACUUGAGUAACUUCCCCUGUUUCCUCCAACCUCUGAAGGGCAUUUUGGGAAAAAGUGAAAUAACUAUCGUUUCCAUUGAAGUAAAGGGUAUUCGAAUCAAAAUGGAAUUUUCCAUUACCGGAAGUUAAAUUUGUUCCGGUGAUGUUCUGGGUCGGAAGAUAAGUAUCAGUUGGGUUCAAAAAACUGUUCCAGUUUCCAUAAACCAAGUUUCCAUCUUCUUGUAGGAAAAGAACAGAGGAGGUGUUUCGAAUACUUGAAGGCCAUAAAUUUGGAGCUGAAGAAGAUGAAGAUGGGGUUAAUUUGAGUUCACCGGAGGAAGAAAUGAAAAGGGUAGCUGAGGAAUUAAGUGGGAAAUUUG
Molecule: unclassified non-coding RNA, 384 nt
Filed under: Hevea brasiliensis (rubber tree)
Lineage: Eukaryota; Viridiplantae; Streptophyta; Magnoliopsida; Malpighiales; Euphorbiaceae
Source: RNAcentral